RNAcentral lists this ribosomal RNA (440 nucleotides) under uncultured bacterium. RNAcentral describes it as "partial 16S ribosomal RNA". It matches the Rfam family "Bacterial small subunit ribosomal RNA", at positions 338 to 795 of the family's 1533-position model. The record is from RNAcentral.
CCUACGGGAGGCAGCAGUAGGGAAUAUUGCUCAAUGGGGGAAACCCUGAAGCAGCAACGCCGCGUGGAGGAUGAAGGUUUUCGGAUCGUAAACUCCUGUUGUUAGAGAAGAUAAUGACGUUAUCUAACGAAUAAGCACCUGCUAACUCCGUGCCAGCAGCCGCGGUAAUACGGAGGGUGCAAGCGUUACUUGGAAUCACUGGGCGUAAAGAGCGCGUAGGUGGGAUAGCAAGUCAGAUGUGAAAUCCUAUGGCUUAACCAGAGAACUGCAUUUGAAACUGUUAUUCUAGAGUAUGGGAGAGGUAGGUGGAAUUCUUGGUGUAGGGGUAAAAUCCGUAGAGAUCAAGAGGAAUACUCAUUGCGAAGGCGACCUGCUAGAACAUAACUGACGCUGAUGCGCGAAAGCGUGGGGAGCAAACAGGAUUAGAUACCCGUGUAGUC